UUGAAUGUGAUUUUAAAGAGUGGA
RNAcentral lists this non-coding RNA (24 nucleotides) under Cricetulus griseus (Chinese hamster). The record is from RNAcentral. Lineage: Eukaryota; Metazoa; Chordata; Mammalia; Rodentia; Cricetidae.